Molecule: ribosomal RNA, 103 nt
Filed under: uncultured bacterium
Lineage: Bacteria
Description: partial 16S ribosomal RNA
Rfam family: Bacterial small subunit ribosomal RNA
Source: RNAcentral
AGGGAAGAAGGUCUUCGGAUUGUAAACCUUUGUCUUCAGGGAAGAAAGGCAACGUAAGUUGUCUUGACGGUACCUGAGGAGGAAGCCACGGCUAACUACGUGC